This 369-nucleotide ribosomal RNA is filed under the name Priestia flexa. Its description in RNAcentral is "bacterial SSU rRNA". It matches the Rfam family "Bacterial small subunit ribosomal RNA", at positions 1021 to 1391 of the family's 1533-position model. Lineage: Bacteria; Bacillati; Bacillota; Bacilli; Caryophanales; Bacillaceae. The record is from RNAcentral.
GGGGGACAGAGUGACAGGUGGUGCAUGGUUGUCGUCAGCUCGUGUCGUGAGAUGUUGGGUUAAGUCCCGCAACGAGCGCAACCCUUGAUCUUAGUUGCCAGCAUUUAGUUGGGCACUCUAAGGUGACUGCCGGUGACAAACCGGAGGAAGGUGGGGAUGACGUCAAAUCAUCAUGCCCCUUAUGACCUGGGCUACACACGUGCUACAAUGGAUGGUACAAAGGGCUGCAAGACCGCGAGGUCAAGCCAAUCCCAUAAAACCAUUCUCAGUUCGGAUUGUAGGCUGCAACUCGCCUACAUGAAGCUGGAAUCGCUAGUAAUCGCGGAUCAGCAUGCCGCGGUGAAUACGUUCCCGGGCCUUGUACACACC